UACGGAGGGGGUUAGCGUUGUUCGGAAUUACUGGGCGUAAAGCGCACGUAGGCGGACUGGAAAGUUGGGGGUGAAAUCCCGGGGCUCAACCCCGGAACUGCCUCCAAAACUUCCAAUCUAGAGAUCGAGAGAGGUGAGUGGAAUUCCAAGUGUAGAGGUGAAAUUCGUAGAUAUUUGGAGGAACACCAGUGGCGAAGGCGGCUCACUGGCUCGAUACUGACGCUGAGGUGCGAAAGCGUGGGGAGCAAAC
This 250-nucleotide ribosomal RNA is filed under the name uncultured bacterium. RNAcentral's name for it is "partial 16S ribosomal RNA". It matches the Rfam family "Bacterial small subunit ribosomal RNA", at positions 524 to 773 of the family's 1533-position model. The record is from RNAcentral.